RNAcentral lists this ribosomal RNA (465 nucleotides) under uncultured bacterium. RNAcentral describes it as "partial 16S ribosomal RNA". It matches the Rfam family "Bacterial small subunit ribosomal RNA", at positions 28 to 507 of the family's 1533-position model. The record is from RNAcentral.
GACGAACGCUGGCGGCGUGCUUAACACAUGCAGGUCGUACGGUAAGGCCCUUUCGGGGGUACACGAGUGGCGAACGGGUGAGUAACACGUGCGUAACCUGCCCACAACUUUGGGAUAACGCUAGGAAACUGGUGCUAAUACUGGAUAUGUGCUCCUUCUGCAUGGUGGGGGUUGGAAAGCUCCGGCGGUUGUGGAUGGACUCGCGGCCUAUCAGCUUGUUGGUGGGGUAGUGGCCUACCAAGGCGGCGACGGGUAGCCGGCCUGAGAGGGUGACCGGCCACAUUGGGACUGAGAUACGGCCCAGACUCCUACGGGAGGCAGCAGUGGGGAAGAUUGCACAAUGGGCGCAAGCCUGAUGCAGCAACGCCGCGUGCGGGAUGACGGCCUUCGGGUUGUAAACCGCUUUCAGCAGGGACGAAGCUUUUUGUGACGGUACCUGCAGAAGAAGCACCGGCUAACUACGUG